UACAGAGGGUGCGAGCGUUAAUCGGAAUUACUGGGCGUAAAGCGCGCGUAGGUGGCUAUGCAAGUCGGAUGUGAAAUCCCCGGGCUCAACCUGGGAACUGCAUUCGAGACUGCAUUGCUCGAGUAUGGGAGAGGGAAGUGGAAUUUCCGGUGUAGCGGUGAAAUGCGUAGAUAUCGUAAGGAAGACCAGUGGCGAAGGCGAGUCUCUGGACAGCAACUGACGCUGAGGCACGAAGGCCAGGGGAGCAAACGGG
This 253-nucleotide ribosomal RNA is filed under the name uncultured bacterium. RNAcentral's name for it is "partial 16S ribosomal RNA". It matches the Rfam family "Bacterial small subunit ribosomal RNA", at positions 524 to 776 of the family's 1533-position model. The record is from RNAcentral.